CCUACGGGUUGCAGCAGUGGAGAAUAUUGCGCAAUGGGCGAAAGCCUGCCGCAGCGACGCCGCGUGGGGGAUGGCGGCCUUCGGGUUGUAAACCUCUUUCAGCAGGGACGAAGCGCAAGUGACGGUACCUGCAGAAGAAGCACCGGCCAACUACGUGCCAGCAGCCGCGGUAAUACGUAAGGUGCAAGCGUUGUCCGGAAUUAUUGGGCGUAAAGAGCUCGUAGGGGGUCUGUCGCGUCGGCUGUGAAAUCCCGAGGCUCAACCUCGGGUCUGCAGUCGAUACGGGCAAACUGGAGUGUUGCAGGGGAGACUGGAAUUCCUGGUGUAGCGGUGAAAUGCGCCGAUAUCAGGAGGAACACCGGUGGCGAAGGCGGGUCUCUGGGCAACAACUGACGCUGAGGAGCGAAAGCGUGGGGAGCGAACAGGAUUAGAUACCCGUGUAGUC
Molecule: ribosomal RNA, 445 nt
Filed under: uncultured bacterium
Lineage: Bacteria
Description: bacterial SSU rRNA
Rfam family: Bacterial small subunit ribosomal RNA
Source: RNAcentral